RNAcentral lists this ribosomal RNA (301 nucleotides) under uncultured bacterium. Its description in RNAcentral is "partial 16S ribosomal RNA". It matches the Rfam family "Bacterial small subunit ribosomal RNA", at positions 509 to 808 of the family's 1533-position model. The record is from RNAcentral.
CAGUCGCCACGGUAAUACGUAGGUGGCAAGCGUUGUCCGGAAUUAUUGGGCGUAAAGCGCGCGCAGGUGGUUAAUAAGUCUGAUGUGAAAGCCCACGGCUCAACCGUGGAGGGUCAUUGGAAACUGCUAAACCUGAGUGCAGGAGAGAAAAGUGGAAUUCCUAGUGUAGCGGUGAAAUGCGUUGAGGUCGGAAAGAACACCAACGGCGAAGGCAGCUUCUUGGUCCAUUCCUGACGUUCAUACACGAAAGCGUGGGGAGCAAACAGGAUUAGAGACCCGCGUAGUCCCUGUCUCUUAUACA